GACUUUGCGCGACGAAGUUAUUGUUUCGUCGCUCAAAGUCACUUUGAGCGACGAUGUAUUGUUGUCGCGCAAAAGUGUGUCGCGCAAAGUUACUUUGCGCGACGAUACAAUAACUUCGUCGGGCAAAAUU
Molecule: microRNA precursor, 130 nt
Filed under: Prunus dulcis (almond)
Lineage: Eukaryota; Viridiplantae; Streptophyta; Magnoliopsida; Rosales; Rosaceae
Description: sRNA ncRNA
Source: RNAcentral